UACGUAGGGGGCAAGCGUUAUCCGGAAUUACUGGGUGUAAAGGGAGCGUAGACGGUAAUGUAAGUCUGGAGUGAAAGGCGGGGGCCCAACCCCCGGACUGCUCUGGAAACUAUGUUACUAGAGUGCAGGAGAGGUAAGCGGAAUUCCUAGUGUAGCGGUGAAAUGCGUAGAUAUUAGGAGGAACACCAGUGGCGAAGGCGGCUUACUGGACUGUAGCUGACGUUGAGGCUCGAAAGCGUGGGGAGCAAACAGG
This 253-nucleotide ribosomal RNA is filed under the name uncultured bacterium. RNAcentral describes it as "partial 16S ribosomal RNA". It matches the Rfam family "Bacterial small subunit ribosomal RNA", at positions 524 to 776 of the family's 1533-position model. The record is from RNAcentral.